AGUUAAUGAGCUUGAACAAGCAUAUGUUUUGAAAACAUAAGAUAGAAAUUUAACUUUCUAUUAACUU
RNAcentral lists this transfer RNA (67 nucleotides) under Drosophila busckii. RNAcentral's name for it is "tRNA-Ser". The record is from RNAcentral. Lineage: Eukaryota; Metazoa; Arthropoda; Insecta; Diptera; Drosophilidae.